GUGAACGCUGGCGGUAGGCCUAACACAUGCAAGUCGAACGGCAGCACAGUAAGAGCUUGCUCUUACGGGUGGCGAGUGGCGGACGGGUGAGGAAUACAUCGGAAUCUACUUUUUCGUGGGGGAUAACGUAGGGAAACUUACGCUAAUACCGCAUACGACCUACGGGUGAAAGCAGGGGAUCUUCGGACCUUGCGCGAUUGAAUGAGCCGAUGUCGGAUUAGCUAGUUGGCGGGGUAAAGGCCCACCAAGGCGACGAUCCGUAGCUGGUCUGAGAGGAUGAUCAGCCACACUGGAACUGAGACACGGUCCAGACUCCUACGGGAGGCAGCAGUGGUGAAUAUUGGACAAUGGGCGCAAGCCUGAUCCAGCCAUACCGCGUGGGUGAAGAAGGCCUUCGGGUUGUAAAGCCCUUUUGUUGGGAAAGAAAAGCAGCAGGUUAAUACCCCGCUGUUCUGACGGUACCCAAAGAAUAAGCACCGGCUAACUUCGUG
Molecule: ribosomal RNA, 491 nt
Filed under: uncultured bacterium
Lineage: Bacteria
Description: partial 16S ribosomal RNA
Rfam family: Bacterial small subunit ribosomal RNA
Source: RNAcentral